AUAAAACAUUUAAUGAAUUAUAUACUUAUUUUAUGUCCUUGUUUCUAAUCCACAGAACAUAGAAAUAAGCUUUAUUUUAAAAAACCUGUCCAAUUUUUGCUAACAUAUGAUUUUUCUUUAACAUCAGCUAAAAAGAGAGGAAGUGUCAGUUCAUAAAAUGUGGAGCUACCACAGAAUUUCGGUAGCAGGUCACUCACCACUAACAAGUACUUCAGCACUUCGCAGGGCUCUGAGUAGCCAUAGAAUGUGCUGUGGACAGGGUCCACAGCAAUAAAUUAGGGUGGAAGAAUGUUUUCUUGAACUUUACAAAGAGGAAGCUGCUUUAGUGAUACAUAAAAAAAUGUAUCUGUUCCUAAGCUGGAUUUUGGCUUGUACUAUACAUAGUACAUAUACAUACUAUACAUUCUGAAAAACUAAUCCUUCAAGAUACUGGUGAUGUGAUGGUGACUUUAUUCCAUAAAUACCAGAUUAAAUCCUGUCCUAUGCACUGAAUUAUCCAGCCAGUUAAAGUAUGGUAGGGAAGGAGUGGAGAGAUGAUAGAUGCAAUACUGGACUGUACAUCAUUCAGCUACUCCUUCCAGUACAUGUGAACCUUUUUUUAAAUAAUGUGAGAGUUUGUUGGGGAUUUUACUCAAAUGUGACCAUCCUACUUCUCAAACAACUUGGUUCUGACAGGAACUUUGUUCUGACAGAUUCUUUUUGAAGGGGGAUGUCUUAGCUGAAUGGGCUUCAGGGUACCUUCCUGUGACAAUGACUUUAGGGGCCACAUGCUGGCUGGCUGAGCCAGUAACAUUGUGCUUUCCUGUGCUCAGUAGGAGUGCAAGACUCUGAACCAAGUUGAGGUGGAUGGAGGAUAUCAAAGACCUGGAAAUGUGGAGGAAUGUGCUGAAGAUAAGGCUACAUUAAUUCUCAGAACUUUAAGCCUUUGUUAAUACAAGUUGAGCUCUUGGGUUUUGAUGGGAUUUUUUUUGUUGUUUUGUUUUGUUUUGUUUUGUUUUGUUUUUCAGUUUGUUUGGUUAAUUUUUUUUUUUUACCAUCUGCAUCUGUUACUAACCCCAAACAGAGCCACUCAUAUGUAGAGGAGGAAAACUUAAUAUUCAUUGAAAUUUCACUGAGGUACUUCUUGGUAAGUCCAAGAUGUUUACUAAGUAAAUUGGAUAGAAUUUACUAGUGAUUGUUACAGUGAUAGAAUAGAUAGUGAUUGUUACAGGACCCCUUAGAGCAUAUUUUCUAUCUCACUUUUCAUCUCUGAUAAGCAGAUUAUGAAUAUAAGAGUCUGCCUUGUAUUGGGAACUCUGACAGGUGAAAUGUGCUCUCUGUUCAUAGCACAUGCAGGGCCCUGACCUCUCUCAUGCUUUUCAUCCCUCAAACUCUGCUAGAUAAUGCUUAAAGAAAUAUGAAGUGCUUGCUGAGACUCGAAAAUGUGACCAUGGUAGAAGCUGUGGUUCUCUGAGGGGUCUCAUUUAUCUCCAUAUGGACUUUGGUUUUCCUGAAAAGCUAAAAUUUCAGUUUAAGGAUGACCUUGGAAACAGAGGUGUGGGGUGGCUUUUAAAAUUCUCAAGAAGCAUCCAGCAGGACUACAGCUGUGCUAAGGAAAGAAGCCAUCUUCUCUUGGAUUGGACUCCAAACUGACCCAACCAGAGGGAUGGAGAACAACAGUUUUCCUUGGAGAGGUCUGGAUUGCUUCUGGCUGAUCCUGGCUGUGCUGCACUGAUUUUAGGGCCACAGCACAUGGGAGAAGUGAGGACAUGAUUGCCAUCAGCUGGGAUGUGCAGGCCAGAUAAUCUGUGCUCUGAGCAUCUCCUGUCCAGAGCACCCAUCUACCAACAAAUGUGUGCACAGCGCUGCCUCUCAACGUUUGAAACUUCUCCUGUCUCUAAAGGAAAGGCCUCUGCAUCCACAGCAUGUGUGGCAUAGGUGUAAAGGGUGCAAUGGCCUGGUGGGAAUGGCAGCACCAGUGGUGUAACAACUCUGAUACUGGGCUGCCACUCCAGUUGUUCUGGGAUUAACGCUGUUACUGAUCUUAGAACUGUUGAAUGAGUCUUGAAACUCCAUUUAUGCAUAAAUGACUGCUUAAACCUGGUUAUUUCUUGUUUCCUUGUGCAUGUGGCUUUUCUAGGCUGUCUGCUUUUUCCACAGUAACUUCCGAGCCCUGCUUGGGCAGGGGUUGUCACCUCCCAGCAUAGAGGUCAUAGAUCAUAAAGGUAGGUAUCCUCCAGGCAGGGCUGCUGGAUGCUUUCUAAUCUGGCAAUUAGGAAAAACACCCACCACGAGAGAGUUUGCAGCGCUUCACUAAAUAAUUAAUAGAUGUUAAAGUCUCCAGGACUUGGGAAUCACACGGAUGCUGACUUUCCACUAAAUGCUGUAUAGUGUUUAGGUAAAAGGUUAAAAUUAUACCUACUCUAAUAGAAAUCUAUACCUUAACAUGGAGGCAGAAAGACAGACAGAAUUAGUAGCACUGCUUCCUCCUUUAGCAGGAGUCAAGCUGAGAUAGAGAGUUUAUAAAUAUUUUCUUUUUUUGUUUUUUCCUUUCACAUGACUUCUUGUUAGAAGGCUGAAAACAGACUUCUGUUAACUUUUGGUUAUUAAAAUCCAAAGAGCAGUCUGAGAAAGAAAUCGGGGCCUGACAACCCAGCAGGGUAAUGGGAAACUUAAUAAAUAUCCUGUUGUUAUAACAUCUGUCAUUUUAGCAUUAACAAGCUCAUGACUUUAGCUGUUGUAUGAUCCCAGCUCCACUCUGCAGAUUAAGGGAAAGGCUGUUAGACCUUUAAAGUAAAAGACUUCUGCCCCACCAGCACGGUAGUUUAACCUCUUGUAUCCUGAAGAAGUUUAGCUAAAACAGGUUGAAAGUGAUAUAGAGACGGACUCCUGUGGAGGUCAAUUAGGAGGCAUACAGAAGCAGUUGGACUCAAGGAUUUUCCUAAUUUUGUUCUCUUUGAUGUCCAGAAGAACCAGAAAAAAAACCCCACUCCAACCAAGCCCAAAAAUACGUGGUGGGGUUUUGUGGUUUUUUGGGUUUUUAAUUUGGUCCCACUUUGAUUUUCUUAAAAGUUAUAGAGAGAUUUAUUUGGUCACACUUUGAUUUUCUUAAAGGUUAUAGAGAGGAGAUUUAAGAGACUGUCUUAUUAAAUGAAUACACAGCACUGCAGCAAAACUGUGGUAGAUGUCCAUUGCUUGUAAGGCAGUAUGUAUAUGUCAACCACAAACAGAGUGGUAUUUUGGUUCAUUUAAAACAGGCCUAUGUAAGAACCAGAGCAACUGCACAAAUACUGAACUCCAUACAGCAUCUCUCACCACCUGUUUCUGAGAUUUCUUUAGCCUGUUGACUCAUGUUUUUCUUUUCUGGAAGCUGAAGAAAAUGCAUGCCAUGCUGAAAAUGCUCCUGGUUUGGUUUUAAUCUUGGACGAAGUUCAUCCAGAACAGUUCUAUGGUGAUAAUGUUUCUGACUUCUUUAUUUUUUGCUUUUAUGUGUCAGGUGGUGAAAUGAGAGCCCUCCACAAUCUGAAUGCAGCCAGUGCUUCCCUGGUACACAGCUUCUCACGCAGGCAGAAGCAGAGGGGCUGAGAGAAAGAAGUUGUCUUGGUGCUCAUGAGGAGUUCGUAGCAUGUUGGGUGUGAGCAAGAGCUGUGGAGUUCAGCAGAGAGUAAAUCCAUCUUGUCUCAGAUUGCUCACUUGUCCUCCCUCAUUGUCCUCUCUCAGGGCAAGGAAGCACCACAUCCAAGCCACAGCCACCUCCAGGACUGCUGUCAGUCUACAAGUCUACAGAAGUGUCACAAAAAGUAUCAUGGAUCUCAUUGUCUCACGGAACAUAAGGACAAACCACCAUGUUCUCAUGCUGCUUAGAUGGUUUCAGAAAGCCCAGAGGUGUCAGUAGCACUCCCAAGUGCUUCCAAGCCUCUGUGUACUUUAGACAAGUGAUACUGCAUAGAAUGUAGGAUACUUAAAGCAGAUUUGUUUGCUUUCAACAGGAUUGUCUUGAAAAUGCUACUAUUCUGUUUGAGGAAAAAAUCUUAUGUCUACAGCAGAGAUGACAUCUCCUGUGUCAUGACUGGAAAGCCCAGACAUGAUCUGGGGCACUGGGGCACCCAAAGCCCUUGCUCAGGUCUUUCGUAAGUAGAUGGUUUACUUUCUGUACUUUCAAUUUAUAUUCCUUUAAGUGAUGCUAAGGCAAGAAGAGAAAUCCAUACCCUCCCCCCAAAUUUUGAAAACACAAGCACAAACAUUUCAGUAGCUGGUGGUGGUUUCACUGCAGAGACAGACUUGAGCGAUGAUGACUUUAUGUUUCGUAAAACACUUUAACUUCCUGAAAUAGUUAUUUUAAAAAACCUGACUGCAAACCACUUUCCAUUUUGAAAUACUUUCGUAAAUGAAAUUACACGUUCAAAUUCUCUCAGUGUUUUGAGAACAAAACAUUUGGACCCCAGUAGCUUUUGCUAAAGGCUUACAGAGCUGCUAACAUCUAGAAAGUCUGUUAUUUGCAUGGGGCUAAUUAGAGCCUGUAAAAGAAUAAGAGAAAUUAAACCCAACAAUGCAGUUCAACUGUAGUGCUAAGAUCUUGCAAUUAAACUUUGCUGUUGGAUUAUGCAUAUUAGCACAUGAAUUACUCUCUAAGUGAUAAAUGUUGAACCAAAUAAUUAUCUAAAGCUUUUGGGCAGGAAUAAUCAAUAAGGUUAGGCUGAGAAAAGACAGUACUUUUUUUUUUAAAAAAAAGAAACAGUAGUACGGCUUGAUGAGAACACAACAAAUUGUUCCCUGUGAAUGAACUGACAGGUUAGCCCACAUUAUUAUUUUUUUUUAAUAUGGGUGGCACCUUAUUUUUUUCCCUUAUAAAACCGGGAAAAAAAAGUUAGAAUAAUGAAAACCUUGAGGCACGCCUACCAGACCUCCAGAGGCGGGUGGCAAAAUCCCACCGAGGUGCAAAUUUACGUGCUUCUCACUCCAGCAAAGAGGGUGGUGGGGAGAGCAGAGGCCGGCUGCGUGUCGGGGAGCGCGGCUGUGCCGGGAUGCUGCUGUCCCUUUGAUACCAGCACAGCCUUGCUGACAUUUCAGUCUCUCACUCUGCCGCGCCUGGGCUUGAGGGAGCGGCUGCCUCUGGAGGGGCUGCGCCACCGCAAUCCUCAUGCCUGGCCUCCGUCUUUGUGCACGGCCACGGUCACCUUGCACGGCUGCAGUCCUUGUGCCCAGCUGUGCUGGGAUGGCCAUGGACAGGUGCGAGGGGACAGAUUACAGAGGCCUGGCCGCCGGUGCAGGGAGACAGCCCCACACUUAUCUCACGAAGCGGCCCGGCACCACCCUGCCUCUCCCCGGGGCCUGAGGCAGCGCGGGCAUCUCUGCGCUGGGGCCGGAGCGGGCCCUGGCCAGCAGCAGUGCGGCGGCUUGCCAGCCCUCACGGCAAUUCCCUGAGCCCUCCACCGCUGCUCACUCGCCCACGAGGUUUUAUCCCAGCCCCCACGCCAGUGAAUGGCCAGGCCACUGCUCGCAGGAUCAGCCCCACUUCCUCGUGUCGGCCAGCCCCUCUCUGAAGCCGCUGCCCCAGAAGGCGCCGGUGCCGCUGUGCCUGAGCACAGGCCACAGAGGAAGCCGGCGGGAGAGGUUUGUGGCAAAUGGAGCGACAGCGAGGCUUGCCACAGGGCCACUGCAGCACCCCAGUGAGGAGAGCGAUUGCCCUCACGCUGUUAAAAUGCAAUUUGCCGAAAGGAAACCGCUGCGGCCGCACGCACCCAACUGCAGCGCCCAAGCAGCGCCGGAAUCGCCGCCACCACAAGAAAGCAGGCAGCCCCCAUUAGCAGGGAAAUCAAUCUUUUACAAGAGCCACAAUGGACCAUUAGCUUUUAACCAGGUUUUAGGGGUGGGGAACAGCCUUCCUGUUGGGCAAACCCUAAGAAGGAAAUAACCGGCUCCAAACAUCCAGGGGCGGUGGGGAGUUGAGAGCCGAGGUAGAGCUCUGAACUCCGCAGCUUGAGCUCGCUGCUACAAUGCAGCCAGCUCCUGCGCGUGGAUGAGCCGGUGGCGGAGCUGCAGGGAGCUGCCCUUAUUUAUUUGUUCCUACGGCACAGGCAGAGACAAGGGCCCUGUUUUAUGUUUCCCUGCAGGAAGGUGAUAAAGUGCCCGGGAGCUGCUGGAAACCAUUCUCCAAUAAAUUCAAAGGGGAAAGUCAUUUUUUUGUGCCUUGGAAGCUUGUGAGAGCUGAGGGAUGCUGGAAGGCAGUGAAAACUGAGGCAGCACAUCACACACUAGUGUGGCAGGAAGCCACCGGAGCAAAUUUUCUGGGCUGUCAUUCAGAAGCUCAUCACAGAGCAGUGAAUACAUUCCUUGUGGGAGCUCAGCAUCAGAAGAAGUUGCAAGCCCCUUCUCAGGAGGAAAGACGAGCACAAGCUGAAACACCCAAGCUGCAAUCAGUGGCAGAACACAACUCCAGGAAGGAUCAUGCCUCAUCAGCGGGUGUUGGCUUUCUAAGGCACCUCAAGUACCCUGCCAGGGAAGGGGCCACAAGGGGUGUGGGUGCCCCUUGCACCUUUGCAGUGCCAGCCAAGAACAGUCCACAGGACUCCUGAGGCUCAUAGGAGGAUGUACAUAAGAAAGGCAGAGGCCUACCAGCCUGGCAGGAGACAGAGGGAAAGGGUAAGAGCUGUUCUUUCCUAGAAGGGAGCUGUGGAGACUCAGGUCCCAUGGAGCCAGCAGCUGGGGCAGGAUGAGAGGUGUGGGUGAGAAGGAGGGAGAUGCAGACCGGCAGUACCUGUUUGUGCUACUUCACUGUGACUGCUCGUGCAACUCUUCAGACCUACCUUAGUGUUUCAUUUUUUAAUCAUCCAAGAUCUCAAGUAAACUUGCUUGUCUCACCCUAGCUAGAACCAGCCCUUCCAUCUAUGCCCUCUGUGCCAGCCAUACUCUGUCUCCUUCCCCAGAAAGCUGCUUUCCCUCUGCCAGCCUGUGAUGGCUGUCCACACCAGAAGUGCACACUGAUUCCAUCAGGCUGCCUUUCCCCACUUCAGCCACAUCUAAUAAAAUGUGGGCACAUAGUGGUGUGAUUUAGUUCAGCCUCCAAUAUUGUCACACUUCCAGGAUUACUGUGGCUUUCAUGGUGCUCCCAGGAGGUGCAUGAACACAUGCAAGGUGUCCUGAAGAACUUCACAAGCUUUGGACUGUUGAAUGGUCUGCUAAAAAGUGGAAUAUGACAAUCCCACCCUUGGGUGGGAUGGGAUCACAUUGUCUGUUGCUUGUUCCCAGCAAGGAUUGUGUUUGCCUGCAGUGCUGGUAGACCAGAUUUAUUCAUGUACCUUCUGUCUUGUGUUUCAUUUGCUUUGGCAACUCCCUAGCUCCUGGUCAUGGUGGGACACCACUGUGUGCCCAGCCACCUGCAUGACUGCCAGGACAGUGACAGCCCACCUUAUCUCUUGAGGGUAGCUCAGAUUACAGCCAAAGAAGAAAUAUUGUCUGCUCCAUUUGGUCUCCAGUUCAACACUUACAUGUGACAUGUUACUUGCUAGGUACUCCCACAUGACUCAUGACCACAAAAAUAAUAAAAAACUAAUGGGUAAGCUGGCCUACAAGGUGUUACUUGUUUGCUGUUAUUGUCCAGGGCUGCUGACUGCUGCUGAAGGAUUUCUACUGUGUAAUUAUAGCCCAGCCUUAGCAGCUCUGCCAGUCUGAACUCUGCUGCUGAGUGGUAUAUGUCCUUAUGGCUUCUAUGAACGUGACUCCAGAAGAUAAUUACAUGCACAGGAAGAAGACAGGAUAGAAACCUGAUUGGGAGGAUAAGGAGAACUUGCUUUGUGCCAUCACAGGAUUACAUGCAAGAGUGUAGUAUUGUCUGAAAGGAGAACAGUCAAGAUAUCAUCGGCUACUCCUGUUACUACACCCCAGAAUUCAUCAAGGGAUGAAGACAAAGAGACAGUUAAUUAUUCAUGACAUAUGCAUAAAAGGGGAAGAAACACACAGAGGGCUAUUUCAUCAUUUUUCAGCCUACCAAGGCUUAUUGGUUCAUAUUAAGCAGCUCUUCUUCUUUAAAAUCUAAUUUUGAAACUGGACAACACAGUCUUCCCCUCUGGCAUUGGUCAGGCCAGUGGUAAACUCAGAUUUCUGUUCUUCUUGCUUAAUUGGUACCUGUGAACCUAGGGUUUAUUUUGCCUGCUUGCUCCAGCUUGUCUCGGGCCUUAAUUGCGAGGUGUCUGGGGAAGGGCUUGUGCUGUAUAACGGGCCAGUGUUCUUCAAAUGGCUCAGCUUUUCCCCUUGGAAGGAGCUGAUUCAUCGACAUGGAAAUGUUUUGCACAAUGGUCUUCACUUCGCUUAAAUUUCCAGUUAAAAGAAUGACUCAUUUUGAUAUGGCCAAAAGUGUAUUCUCUUGUCUCAUGUUGCAGUGUUGUGCACCAGACCUGCCUGGUGAGCUGAGGGCUGUGCUUCCCCAGAGAAAGUGCAGGACUGUGCCUGAGCAUGGGGUGGUGGC
Cyanistes caeruleus (blue tit) is the source of this 8443-nucleotide non-coding RNA. NCBI's taxonomy places the organism in Eukaryota, Metazoa, Chordata, Aves, Passeriformes, Paridae. The record is from RefSeq and is a predicted model, not a curated record.